This 167-nucleotide small nuclear RNA is filed under the name Musa acuminata subsp. malaccensis (wild Malaysian banana). RNAcentral describes it as "U2 spliceosomal RNA". It matches the Rfam family "U2 spliceosomal RNA". Rfam says of the family: U2 is a small nuclear RNA (snRNA) component of the spliceosome (involved in pre-mRNA splicing). Lineage: Eukaryota; Viridiplantae; Streptophyta; Magnoliopsida; Zingiberales; Musaceae. The record is from Rfam by way of RNAcentral.
ACUAAUUAGCACAUUCAACUAACAGUUGAAGUGUCUAUUCUUCUCAGUUUAAUAUCUGAUAUGUGGGUCAUUGAUCCACUAUGAUAUUAUAUUAAUUUAUUGUGAGGGAGGGCUCAUCACAAUAGCACCAAUCCCACUUACUAAAAUGGUUGAGAGUUUGAAACAUC